RNAcentral lists this long non-coding RNA (737 nucleotides) under Pongo abelii (Sumatran orangutan). RNAcentral describes it as "lincRNA". Lineage: Eukaryota; Metazoa; Chordata; Mammalia; Primates; Hominidae. The record is from RNAcentral.
GCUGUUCUGCGUUCUCCACCUCGGGAGUCCCCGGUGACUGUCACAGCCUCUUGCCCUGUGAUCUGCCGGUUCUGGGAGACGCACAGCUAAGAUGCCAGGACAUCCUGGAAGCUGGGAAAAGUCUUGCUUUGUUGCCCAGGCUGGAGUGCAGUGGCGUGAUCACUGCAACCUCUGCCUCCCAGGCUCAAGCGAUUCUCUUGCCUCAGCAUCCCCGAAUGGAGUUUCACUCUUGUUGCCCAGGCUGGAGUGCAGUAUCCCAAUCUUGGCUCACUGCAACCUCCGCCUCCCAGGUUCAAGUGAUUUUCCUACCUCAGCCUCCUGAGUAGCUGGGAUUACAAGUGCCUGCCACCACACCUGGCUAAUUUUUUGUAUUUUUAGUAGAGAUGGGGUUUCAUCAUGUUGGCCAGGCUGGUCUCGAACUCCUGACCUCAGGCGAUCCACCCACUUCCCAAAGUGCAGGGAUUACAGGUGUAAGCCACCACGCCCGGCCUCUCAACGUAAUUUUUAUUCUUAGUAGACACAUUGAUGAUGAGCCAAUCAGAUGUUGGUAUUGAUGAGAAAAAGCAGAAAUGAUUUCUGUUGAUUCUUGAAAUAAAAUUUUUUCCAAAGGACAAGAAGAUCCCAUCCCAGUAAGGCAAUGCAAGAACCUGAAGCAAAAUGCACCUGAGGCUUACAGUGGGAUACAGUACAGUGUCUCCUGGGAAGGUGGUCACUAAUUUCAUGGGCAGGAUGGGGAU